Molecule: ribosomal RNA, 489 nt
Filed under: uncultured bacterium
Lineage: Bacteria
Description: bacterial SSU rRNA
Rfam family: Bacterial small subunit ribosomal RNA
Source: RNAcentral
UCAGGACGAACGCUGGCGGCGUGCCUAAUACAUGCAAGUAGAACGCUGAAGAAAGGAGCUUGCUCUUUUGGAUGAGUUGCGAACGGGUGAGUAACGCGUGAAGAACCUGCCUUUCAGUGGGGGACAACAGUUGGAAACGACUGCUAAUACCGCAUGACACUUUUUGGGGGCAUCCCCGAGAAGUCAAAGCUUUAUGUGCUGAAAGAUGGCUUCGCGUCUGAUUAGCUAGAUGGCGGGUAACGGCCCACCAAGGCGAUGAUGCAUAGCUGGUCUGAGAGGAUGAACAGCCACAUUGGGACUGAGACACGGCCCAGACUCCUACGGGAGGCAGCAGUAGGGAAUUUUCGGCAAUGGGGGAAACCCUGACCGAGCAACGCCGCGUGAGUGAAGAAGGUCUUCGGAUUGUAAAGCUCUGUUGUAAGGGAAGAAAUGUACUGUGAGAAACAGUACUUGACGGUACCUUACCAGAAAGCUACGGCUAACUACGUG